GGGGUUUUAGCUCAGCUGGGAGAGCGUCAGACUGAAGCUCAGGCAAAAUCUGAAGGUCGCGUGUUCAAUCCACGCAGACCCCA
RNAcentral lists this transfer RNA (83 nucleotides) under Trichoglossum hirsutum. It matches the Rfam family "tRNA". Rfam says of the family: Transfer RNA (tRNA) molecules are approximately 80 nucleotides in length. Their secondary structure includes four short double-helical elements and three loops (D, anti-codon, and T loops). Lineage: Eukaryota; Fungi; Ascomycota; Geoglossomycetes; Geoglossales; Geoglossaceae. The record is from Rfam by way of RNAcentral.